This 572-nucleotide ribosomal RNA is filed under the name uncultured fungus. RNAcentral's name for it is "eukaryotic LSU rRNA". The stretch from base 210 to 363 matches the Rfam family "5.8S ribosomal RNA". Lineage: Eukaryota; Fungi. The record is from RNAcentral.
GUCGUAACAAGGUCUCCGUAGGUGAACCUGCGGAGGGAUCAUUACACAAAUAUGAAGGCGGGCUGGAACCUCUCGGGGUUACAGCCUUGCUGAAUUAUUCACCCUUGUCUUUUGCGUACUUCUUGUUUCCUUGGUGGGUUCGCCCACCACUAGGACAAACAUAAACCUUUUGUAAUUGCAAUCAGCGUCAGUAACAAAUUAAUAAUUACAACCUUCAACAACGGAUCUCUUGGUUCUGGCAUCGAUGAAGAACGCAGCGAAAUGCGAUAAGUAGUGUGAAUUGCAGAAUUCAGUGAAUCAUCGAAUCUUUGAACGCACAUUGCGCCCUUUGGUAUUCCAAAGGGCAUGCCUGUUCGAGCGUCAUUUGUACCCUCAAGCUUUGCUUGGUGUUGGGCGUCUUGUCUCUAGCUUUGCUGGAGACUCGCCUUAAAGUAAUUGGCAGCCGGCCUACUGGUUUCGGAGCGCAGCACAAGUCGCACUCUCUAUCAGCAAAGGUCUAGCAUCCAUUAAGCCUUUUUUUCAACUUUUGACCUCGGAUCAGGUAGGGAUACCCGCUGAACUUAAGCAUAUCA